This 229-nucleotide ribosomal RNA is filed under the name uncultured bacterium. Its description in RNAcentral is "partial 16S ribosomal RNA". It matches the Rfam family "Bacterial small subunit ribosomal RNA", at positions 568 to 796 of the family's 1533-position model. The record is from RNAcentral.
CGCGUAGGCGGACCUUCAAGUCGGAUGUGAAAUCUUGCAGCUCAACUGCAAGCCUGCAUUCGAAACUGGCGGUCUUGAGUACAGUAGAGGAAAGCGGAAUUCCAGGUGUAGCGGUGAAAUGCGUAGAUAUCUGGAAGAACACCAGUAGCGAAGGCGGCUUUCUGGGCUGAUACUGACGCUGAAGCGCGAAGGCUUGGGUAGCAAACAGGAUUAGAUACCCUGGUAGUCC